RNAcentral lists this ribosomal RNA (433 nucleotides) under uncultured bacterium. Its description in RNAcentral is "partial 16S ribosomal RNA". It matches the Rfam family "Bacterial small subunit ribosomal RNA", at positions 29 to 507 of the family's 1533-position model. The record is from RNAcentral.
AACGAACGCUGGCGGCAGGCCUAACACAUGCAAGUCGAGCGAGGACUUCGGUCCUAGCGGCGGACGGGUGAGUAACGCGUGGGAACGUGCCCUUUGCUUCGGAAUAGCCCUGGGAAACUGGGAGUAAUACCGGAUGAGCCCUUUGGGGGAAAGAUUUAUCGGCGAAGGAUCGGCCCGCGUUGGAUUAGGUAGUUGGUGGGGUAAUGGCCUACCAAGCCGACGAUCCAUAGCUGGUUUGAGAGGAUGAUCAGCCACACUGGGACUGAGACACGGCCCAGACUGCUACGGGAGGCAGCAGUGGGGAAUCCUAGACAAGGGGGGAAACCGUGAUAUAGCCAUGCCGCGUGAGCGAUGAAGGCCUUAGGGUUGUAAAGCUCUUUCAGAUGGGAAGAUAAUGACGGUACCAGCAGAAGAAGCCCCGGCUAACUCCGUG